UCGAGUUCUGUUUGGAUCACAUCGAGCAAUUAAUAUGGUCCAUAAAUAUCGACCUCAAAGUGGACCAUCUUAUUUACUCAAUGUGAUACAAACAGAACUCGA
This is a non-coding RNA of Marchantia polymorpha subsp. ruderalis, 102 nucleotides long. The record is from the annotation of a GenBank genome assembly. NCBI's taxonomy places the organism in Eukaryota, Viridiplantae, Streptophyta, Marchantiopsida, Marchantiales, Marchantiaceae.